Molecule: long non-coding RNA, 510 nt
Organism: Gorilla gorilla gorilla (western lowland gorilla)
Lineage: Eukaryota; Metazoa; Chordata; Mammalia; Primates; Hominidae
Exons: 4
Source: RefSeq, a predicted model, not a curated record
GAAACGUCUAUCAAGGAUCACUUUUGUACUCUAACCGGCUUGAGGCAGGGGAAACUGCGUUUGCAGGCAGGCAGAUGAAAUAAGGACAUUAUCAGAUAAAAGAGAACUGAGAAUUUGUCGUCAGCAUCCCCAUACUACAAGAAAUGCCAGCGUAGUUUCUUCAGGUUGAAGGGAAAGAAUACCAGAGGAAAACUUGAAUCUUCAGGAAGGAAUGGCAUCAUUGGAAAUGACUAUUAUGCUGAUCCAUUAUAUUGAUGAUAUCAUGAAGAUCUGAGGUAAAAAGGAGAAAACAGUGAGAAUGGUGGAAGCCUUAAGAAGGUAUAUGUGCACCAGUGGGCAGAAGAAAUCCCUACAGAAUUUCAGCAGCUGGCCAAAAUGAUAUUCUACCAAAUAAAAAAAGGUGACCUUGACUCUUCAAAAUUAUCAAAAGAAGAAUGAGGAACUGUUCCAGAUUAAAGACAUGACAACCAAACAACGUGAUUCUGUACUGGAUCCUUCACUGAGCUGGGG